Molecule: long non-coding RNA, 5826 nt
Filed under: Homo sapiens (human)
Lineage: Eukaryota; Metazoa; Chordata; Mammalia; Primates; Hominidae
Description: HSALNT0356814
Source: RNAcentral
AAAGAAAAAUGUUCUUUCUAGGGUUUAAUAAAUGCUUCACAAUGAGUUUUUUUUUUUAAGUAGGCCUUAAUACCUAAUCACUUGCAUUCGGUGGCUAGAUUUGAGUGGAUAAGAACACCUACCAAAGUACAACUUCCAAUUUUUAUUUCAGAAGGAAACCAUCCUUGAGAGAUGAGAAAAUAACUUACUUUAAGCUUUAUUCAUUUUUGUAUUUGGCUGCCAUAAAAUAUCUUUUACUAAGUAGCUUUAGGGUUUUUUUUUUAAUCUAAUCCUGAUUAAAUUAAAAGAAAAACCUGGUAAGUUAAUUGUAAGCUUUCCCAUAAAAGAGAGAAGCACAAAAUGCCAUGGAAUAUAUCCAAGAAACAUAACAUAAACAUGAGACUUACAAUGCACAAUUUAAAAUUUCAUAUGUUGUCAAAUGAUAAAUGUCUGUUCCAGCUAUGAAUACUUUAACUUCAAAAAUCUUUCAUAGCCUUAAAAAAGAACUCUCACAGAAACAGAAGCUGGAAUGUUAUUUGUGAACUAGGCCUUGCACCUUGUCAAUAUUUUUAGUUCUUAAAUUUCUGGAAUGUUCUAAAGACAUAAAACAUCUACUUCAUUUUGAAAUUUUGAUUUUAACAUUUCACUAACAACACUGGGAAAGGAUCAUCUUAACUAAAGGUGUCAAGACUAACGUUUGAGCUUAGCCGUUGAACUUUCUCUUAGGGGAAACAGUUUAAUCCCCAAGUACUAUGAGAUAGGCGUUUUAAGGCAACUUUUUAAAAAGGAAAAUAAAUCUGCUUUUUGCCGUCUAGGAAAGAUACAUUUUUCCUUGUGGAAAUCUGCAGUCUGAAAAGACAGAUAUGAAAAGCAUGAACUGUUGAAAAUAACCUAAAUGUUCUUUGAAAAUUUAAAGGCCAGCUUAUCCUGCAAUGGUGAUAGAAUAGUCGGCUUACAACACGCAAAGCCGAGCCGCGGGUGGGCAGGCGCCGCCCGUGGCUCGCGGAGUGGAUGCACUCGAGGGCGCGGCCGCUGCGCUUGGGGAACUUUCAGGGCGCCAAGUACGGGUAGCGCUUCUGAUGGAUUCCCGGGUCUGGGAGGAUCCGAUUAUCCCGGGGCCGGGUGACACGCACAAAGCUGAGGUUAGAGUUGGCCAGGAAGGGAGGACCUGGUGAGCCGGUGGAACAAAAGCGGGAAGGCCUUUCCUUCUAGGAGCAAAACCAGCGACGCGUCCCGGACGCCCGGGGACCCCUGUGGGUCUCGGUUUCCUUCGCUGUGACCCUGACAUGUUUCCCUCCACCGGCCCGAGGAAACCGUCGCUUCCAGCCUCCAGGUGUUAUCUUAGGAGCCAAGCAUCUCCUUUGGUCCUGCGCUCCUUCGCCUAGCGCCUGGUGCCCCCCACCCGGCUGCAUCCGAGGCUUGCGCGGCCCGGUCCCAUCAGCCGAGCGUCGCCCGCCCAGGAGGAGGCUCGGGUUCUCCGCAGAAGCGAAUACUUUCUCUUUUUGUUUUAAGUUAGAACCUUGCUUUUGCAGUGAUUCGUUGCUGUGGCGUGAUUUUAAACAGGUGAGAAAUCGGAGUCUCAUUUUCCCAGGGGGGCUUCCAAUGAGGAUUUUAAGAGAAGCGUGCAAAGAAGACAGCAAUGUCCAUCUUUUUUUUUUCUUGUUUUCUUUUGAACAGAGGGAACCCCCACGCGCUGAGAUAGUUAUGUUUUUAAGGCUAAACUUUUUUAAAAUUAGUUUUUCUUUUACACUUAUGGCUGACUUUUGAUCCUUUUAAAGAAAGGAUGAAGUCAAAACAGAUUAAUGCUUUUGAAUACACAACGUCCCCACGUCCCCAAAUUGUGGUGCUGGGAUAGUUCCUCUAAGAUGCAUUCUGAUUUUGAAGUUCAAGGUCUCUAAGCGCUGUUAAGCGGAACCAUGAAAAAUACGUUGCUACAUUAAAGAUAAAACAGACGGUGAUACUGACUGCAGAAUCGUAGUAGAAACUUUUUUUUUUUUUUUGAGGCUGUGCAGGAUUUGCCUUGGUUUUAUUAGGGAACCUGCUAAUAGAAGCAAUUUCAAGUGACGGGCUUCCCUCAGUAAAAAGCUGGAAGCAAUGACAUCUUUUCUAUCUGAGUGACUCUCCUUAGUCGUGGUAAAUAAAUAAAUAAAUAAAUAAAUAGAUAGAUAGAUAGAUAAAUAAAUAAAUAAAUAAAAAUUAGUUUACAUGCAGUGUUUGAAAAGAAAAUGAUUUUGCUUCCCAAGUUUUUAUGUGUUUUCUUUUUUACCAACUAUAUUUCACUUUAUUUACAAUUGUCAGUUUAUUCUCACACCUUCUGGUUAGUUUUAUCUUCUCACCAUGGUCUGUUAGAACCCCAUCCUCGAGCAAAAAAACAAAAACAAAAACCACCCCCCCAAAACAAACAAACAAACAAACAAAACAGGUGUUCAUCCCUGUGAGAUGCUAAUGCCCCUGGAACUGUUUGAAAAGAGCAAAAUUUUGUAAGGAGAUUCUUUUCAAAAAGUGUUAGAGAAGUAUUCUUCAAAAACAUCUUAGAAUGUUUCCUUAAAAAAUUUCCUUUCUUGGUUUUCAUUAAUUGCCUUUGAUUAAAAUUAGGUUACAAACAUAUCUUAAUUUCAGACUGUUUCUUUAUAAAAGAAAGGAGAAAGUAAAUAGGUGUUGGCAAGGACUAAACCAAUGCAACUAGGCCCUGUUGAGAGCCUAAAUCUGUAAACUGGUACCCUUAAAAAACAUCAAUCAACUUGAGGUUCGUACAGGUAGUUCUUUGACUCAAACAGUUGAUUUUUAAAAGUCUUAUAAAAUAGGUUAAAAUGUGUUUUUAGUCCAGGUUCCUACUUCUUUGUUAUGCAUUUCUCCUCGUAGAUAAAUAAAUGAAUCUAACUUGAUGAGUAGGUAGAUUUUUCUCCAGAAGAACUUUCUAAAAAUGGGCAAAGUUAGGGAAGUGAUUAAUACCCUUCAGUUUAAUUGGAAUUAUUCAGUGCUUAUACCAAGUUAAUCCUAUUAAGAUGCUAUUUCCUGCUCAGGGGGAUAAAUUAAGCACAACUUAGAUUAUUUUAGGUGGACAACUGGUAUAUAGUCUAAGCAAUGGGGGCUGGAAAAAAGUAUCUCUUCUCCAAAAAAUAUAGAUUAUGUACCAGUAAUGUUCAAAGUACUUUGAGGAAGUGUAUUGAUGGGAUGAAUAUAAAUCAUAGUGACUGUUGUUAAGGGGUUUACGGAUUAUAAAGAGCAAUUGAGCUUCCUUUAUUUUCUCUUAUUUAGAAAACAAACAUUCAUAAGAAAAAAAUAAAAUUAGAUCCCUUCUUUUGCCCACAUACAAAUUCAGUUUCAGAUCAAUUAAAAAGUUAAAUAAGAAAAAUAGAAUUAAAAAAAUAUUGGAAGGCUGGGCGCAGUGGCUCACGCCUGUAAUCCCAGCACUUUGGGAGGCCAAGGCGGGCAGAUCACGAGGUCAGGAGAUUGAGACCAUCUUGGCCAACAUGGGGAAACCCUAUCUCUAGUAAAAAUACAAAAAUUAGCUGGUUGUGGUGGCACAUGCCUGUAAUCCCAGCUACUCGGGAGGCUGAGGCAGGAGAAUCGCUUGAACCUGGGAGGCAGCGAUUGCAGUGAGCCGAGAUCGCGCCACUGCACUCUAGCCUGGCAGCAGAGUUAUCUCUGUAACUCUCCAUCUCAAAAAAAAACAAAAAAAAUUGAAAGGAAAUAUAGAAUUUGUAGUAUGAAAGGAUUUCUUAAACAAAACAUUAAAAUACACAAUCCAUUAAGGAAAUGAUCAAUUGGAUGACAGUCAUGCUCCAAAUAAUGAUAUGUUAGUCAAUACAUGAUAAUAGUCCCAUAAGGUUAUAAUAUUGUAUAUUUACUGUACCUUUUCUAUGUGUAGAUGUGUCUAAUUAUACAAAUACCAUUGUGUUACAAUUGCCUACAGUAUUCAAUACAGUCACAUGCUGUACAGGUUUGCAGCCUAGGAGCAAUAGGCUUGUACCAUAUACAAACCAUCUAGGUUUGUGUAAUUACACUCUAUGAUGUUAGCAUGACAAAACUGCCUAUGGACCUAUUUCUCAGAAUAUGUCCCUGUAGUUGAGUGCCAUGUGACUGUAUAUAAAAAUUUUUAAAAAUACUUUUUACAUGACAAAAGAUAUCAUAAAAUGUUACAAGAUAAACUGAGAAGAUAUUUUCAAGGCAUGUACUUGGUGAAGGAUUCAUAUUCAAAAUGUAUAAAUAACUUAUAUAGAAAGAAUUUACUAAUUUAUGUAUAAUGAAUUUCAUAAAUAAAAGAUGUGGGCCAGGAUAUAUACAUAUGAAGUGAAAGUAUAGUACUAUCAAUAGGAUGAAUACAUAUCAACUUCAAAAAAUGUAAUUUCCUUUGGGAUAGAAAGAAAGAAGGAAGGAGGGGGAAUAGGAAGAGGGCAACAACUUCCUGCCCAGGGGGCAACAACUCUUUUUUUUUUUUUUUUUGAGACAGAGUCUUGCUUUUGUCCCCCAGGCUUGAGUACAAUGACUCGAUCUCGGCUCACUGCAACCUCCGCCUCUCGGGUUCAAAUGAUUCUCCUGCCUCUGCCUCCCAAGUAGCCAGUUAAGGCACCUGCCACCAUGCCCGUCUAAUUUUUGUGUUUUUUAGUAGAGACGGAGUUUCACCAUUUUGGCCAGGCUGGUCUCGAACUCCUGACCUCAGUUGAUCCGCCCACCUCAGCCUCCCAAAGUGCUGGGAUUACAGGCAUGAGCCACUGCGCCCAGCCCACAGCAAUUCUUUAUAAAAAGAUCAGAGGCAACUAUGGGAAGACAUUAACACUUUUUGUUCUUUGUAGAUUGUUAAAAGCUUGUUAUAAUUUAUUUAAAAAUCUCUAACAUCAAUUCCUAGUCUAAAGAAUGAACAAAUGACACAUUUCUUUUCCUUAGUCAAUAAUAAUCUUGUAAGAUGGUGUUCACGUGCUUUUCUUUGAGGGCAAAGAAAACACCAUUCCCCAGUGUUUUUCCUGGGCAGUGUUUGAAUAUUAUAUGAUACUCACAGCAGAGAUUUUCCUAGUUUGGCUUCUGUUGUAAGCUUGUUUUCUGAGUAGAUUUAAAUGAGAAGAACAGAAACAUAUUUGAAACUAUGACUAUGUAUAAGAGCAUUUAUUCUCCUAUAAUGAAAUCGUGGAAAAUGUUUUUAAAAAGUGAGCAAACAAAAACCUCCACACCAUUAUAGAAACACGGUUAAAAAACUAUUGAAUAAUCUCAAGCCUAGUGUGUAAUAAUUAUUAAGUGUGUCUAAUUUGUUGUGCUAAGUGUCAGGAAUUGGUAUUGUGGAAGGAUAUGUGAGAUCUCAUUUUCUCCUUUUAUAUGGCAGGAGUUUAUACAGUAUUUACAUCUGUCAUUGAUACUUUUUAUGAACAGAAGUUUUGUUUACUUAUAACUUCCACAGGGAUUAUUCAUAUGGAGCACUGGAAAGAUGUAACAUUUCAUUUGCUUUGAUACCUUGUGUUUAUUUUAGGUCGAAAAGCAUCAUGAAGCCAAGUGGUUAUUGUUUUGCUUAUUCAGUGUGAACUGAGUGAGCCAGGUUUGUAUACCAAGUGAUUCUCGUGGUGGACAAUACCAAUAUGAUUAUGCCAAAUGCAUUGCUUCUGAGGCAUCACUCUUUGGGCACAUAUAGACCCUGCUGAUUUCUGCCAAAGCACUCUUCUUAAAGUUCCAAAACAUUACCCCAAAACCUCUAUAGCCCCCUAUUGCCAACAAAAUUAAAGCCUUUCUCUUCAUUGGCAUUAGAAGCCCCUGUAACCCAUUGCUUUUCCAUUUCCAGCCUCUUUCCAAAAUUACCAAACAAACUCUGUAUCCUGCAGCCACCAAACUGUACUAGUUGUAAUAUAUUCACUAAGAACA